GACGAACGCUGGCGGCGUGCUUAACACAUGCAAGUCGAACGGAAAGGCCCUGCUUUUGUGGGGUGCUCGAGUGGCGAACGGGUGAGUAACCCGUGAGUCACCUGCCCUUGACUUUGGAAUAACUUCAGGAAACUGGGUCUAAUACCGGAUAGGAGCUCCUGCUGGAUGGUGGGGGUUGGAAAGUUUCGGCGGGUGGGGAUGGACUCGCGGCUUAUCAGCUUGUUGGUGGGGUAGUGGCUUACCAAGGCUUUGACGGGUAGCUGGCCUGAGAGGGUGACCGGCCACAUUGGGACUGAGAGACGGCCCAGACACCUACGGGAGGCAGCAGGGGGGAAUAUUGCACAAUGGGCGGAAGCCUGAUGCAGCAACGCCGCGUGCGGGAUGACGGCCUUCGGGUGGUAAGCCGCUUUCGCCUGGGACGAAGCGUGAGUGACGGUAAUGGGUAAAGAAGCACCGGCUAACUACGUG
RNAcentral lists this ribosomal RNA (468 nucleotides) under uncultured bacterium. RNAcentral describes it as "partial 16S ribosomal RNA". It matches the Rfam family "Bacterial small subunit ribosomal RNA", at positions 28 to 507 of the family's 1533-position model. The record is from RNAcentral.